UACGUAGGGGGCUAGCGUUGUCCGGAUUUAUUGGGCGUAAAGAGCGUGUAGGCGGCCAGGUAGGUCUGCUGUGAAAACUCGAGGCUCAACCUCGAGACGUCGGCGGAAACCAUCUGGCUAGAGUCCGGAAGAGGAGAGUGGAAUUCCUAGUGUAGCGGUGAAAUGCGCAGAUAUCAGGAAGAACACCCGUGGCGAAGGCGGCUCUCUGGGACGGUACUGACGCUGAGACGCGAAAGCGUGGGGAGCGAACAGG
Molecule: ribosomal RNA, 253 nt
Filed under: uncultured bacterium
Lineage: Bacteria
Description: partial 16S ribosomal RNA
Rfam family: Bacterial small subunit ribosomal RNA
Source: RNAcentral